RNAcentral lists this long non-coding RNA (253 nucleotides) under Phoenix dactylifera (date palm). Its description in RNAcentral is "long non-coding RNA (PDAC_LNC007480)". The record is from RNAcentral. Lineage: Eukaryota; Viridiplantae; Streptophyta; Magnoliopsida; Arecales; Arecaceae.
CCAGUCCUAAACAAGAAAAAAAGGAAGGAGAUAGAUAAAGAUAGAAAUCACAAUCUUGCCUUGUUGAUAGGGAAGAAAUCAACCAUAAUGGAAUAUUUCCUCUCGUCCUUAACCGGAGGCAGUUCAUGCGCGCGAUAAAGAUUCCUCACUUGUUUGAGGAUAUCCUUCCGCAGUUGGUCAAGUUGAUUUGCUCGAUUUAUCUCAGAUGGCGUGAGUGGGUCUUCCUGUACUCCUUCUAAAGGAUGAUAGUUAA